AUGCGGGGCUCUCAAUUCUGAUCCGCUGCAUCGGUGAUGGUUGGGAGCCCUGCUUGAGCUUGAAUAAAUGACCCUCAUGUGCUUGCAUCAGAAACAGCUUCCUGGUGGUCUUUGGGGACUUCGCAAUCUGGGCACAACAAAAGUAUGACUAUAACUAAGGCCUGAUGUCACCUUGCCUGGCGAGCUGGCUAUGGCAUGUGGAAACAUAACUCCAUUUUGCUUCUGGUCACAAAUUGAAGCCUCAAUGGUCCAAUGAUACUGUGAAACUCAAGGUUAAAUCCACCAUUGUAUGUAGAUCUCUAACUUUGUGUUCUGAAACAAUACUUAAUGUGGAUUGUCUUCUGAAGAAACUGAGAGGGAUUCUCAUGCUCCUUUUUCUCAAGUCUCCCUUCUACUUUCUUCUCUCUUUCUCUGUCUGCUCUGUCUGUCUCUGUUUCUCUCUCUUUCUAAGGUUCCAUAUAUGAGAGAAAAUGUUAUAUUUGACUUUCUAGGUCUAGUUUAUUUUGCUUAACAUCAUGAUCACUGUGAGACCAAAGCGACUCCAUUUUGCUAAAAUCCACUAUUCCCCUAGUCUCUAUUGCCUUCACAAAUUAAUGGUUAAAAUGUGCUUGCUCUGGGACAAAAGACACAAUCUGUAAAGAAGCAAAGUUCCAAAGUUAAUUACUCAACCAUCUGUUUGCCCAGGAAAUGAACGUUCCGGGUCCACUAUCUAUAGAACAAUCUUGUCAAUGUGCUGACCAUCAGUACGUGACAGUCGACCACUAACCUUUGUCCCUCUUUUCCCUCGUAAAACCUACAUGUAACCACCCCUCAACCCCCUAUGGGCCUAGCCAAUCAGAAAUAUACACUUCAUGCUUGCUAAAUGCCA
RNAcentral lists this long non-coding RNA (868 nucleotides) under Heterocephalus glaber (naked mole-rat). Its description in RNAcentral is "lncRNA (ENSHGLG00100052399.1)". Lineage: Eukaryota; Metazoa; Chordata; Mammalia; Rodentia; Bathyergidae. The record is from RNAcentral.